This 511-nucleotide ribosomal RNA is filed under the name Diplogasteritus nudicapitatus. RNAcentral's name for it is "eukaryotic LSU rRNA". It matches the Rfam family "Eukaryotic large subunit ribosomal RNA", at positions 655 to 1146 of the family's 3401-position model. Lineage: Eukaryota; Metazoa; Nematoda; Chromadorea; Rhabditida; Diplogasteridae. The record is from RNAcentral.
UGAAACACGGACCAAGAAGUCUGUAUGUGCGCGAGUCAUUGAGUGGAAAACUCAUAUGGCGUAAUGAAAGUAAAGGUUGGUUUUGGCCGACUGAUAUGUGAUCCGGGCCUUCGGGCUCGGCGCAACAUAGCCCCAUGCCAUCUGCUUGCAGCGGUGUGGAGGUAGAGCGUACAUACUGGGACCCGAAAGAUGGUGAACUAUGCUUGAGCAGGACGAAGUCAGAGGAAACUCUGAUGGAAGUCCGUAGCGGUUCUGACGUGCAAAUCGAUCGUCGGACUUGAGUAUAGGGGCGAAAGACUAAUCGAACCAUCUAGUAGCUGGUUCCUGCCGAAGUUUCCCCCAGGAUAGCUGGAGUGUGAUGCAGAUAUAUUCGGUAAAGCUAAUGAUUAGAGACAUUGGGGACGAAAUGUCCUCAACCUAUUCUCAAACUUUCAAUGGGUAUGAUGUUGCGGUUGCUUGAUUGAACCGUGACUGCGAUUGUAUGCUCCAAGUGGGCCAUUUUUGGUAAGCA